CCUAUCCAGGAUGACAAAUUGAUCUCAUACAUCCUCCAUGGCCUGGACGUCGACUACCAGCCGCUCGUCUCUGCCCUUGACGCCUGCGUCACACCCGUCACCCUCGACGAGCUCUAUGCCAUGCUGAGUAACUUUGAUC
Molecule: non-coding RNA, 139 nt
Organism: Triticum aestivum (bread wheat)
Lineage: Eukaryota; Viridiplantae; Streptophyta; Magnoliopsida; Poales; Poaceae
Source: Rfam